Sus scrofa (pig) is the source of this 392-nucleotide non-coding RNA. The record is from RefSeq and is a predicted model, not a curated record. NCBI's taxonomy places the organism in Eukaryota, Metazoa, Chordata, Mammalia, Artiodactyla, Suidae.
AGAGUGGACAGUUUUCCCGAAGGGAACCAUGGUCUCUGGCUGGCCCUGGAGACCUGGGCUUGGCCAAGGCUGGUGCCUGCCGCGCUCACUCUGGGCACCACGGGAGCUGUCUGAAGGACCCUGUCUGGCCACCCCAGAAAAUGGGCACAUCCGCCCACUACCCAUCUUCAAGUUUCCCAAAGAAGUGACAAAGGUCAUAAAGAGGUGGCGACGUGCUCAAGGCCACAGAGGGAGCAGAAGUACCAGUCUGGGCCCUGAGGCUGAAUUCCACAGCUCAUGCCUCCAGCAGUGGACUCGGAUCCCAAGAGGCUGAGACUCGGUCUGGAAGCCAGACCCACAGGUGCAAUCCUGCCCACAGAGCUUGACCCACAGUAUUAAAAAAAAAAAAUGUC